AAAAGCCUCUAAGCAUCAGGUAACAUCAAAUCGUACCCCAAACCGACACAGGUGGUCAGGUAGAGAAUACCAAGGCGCUUGAGAGAACUCGGGUGAAGGAACUAGGCAAAAUGGUGCCGUAACUUCGGGAGAAGGCACGCUGAUAUGUAGGUGAAGUCCCUCGCGGAUGGAGCUGAAAUCAGUCGAAGAUACCAGCUGGCUGCAACUGUUUAUUAAAAACACAGCACUGUGCAAACACGAAAGUGGACGUAUACGGUGUGACGCCUGCCCGGUGCCGGAAGGUUAAUUGAUGGGGUCAGCGCAAGCGAAGCUCUUGAUCGAAGCCCCGGUAAACGGCGGCCGUAACUAUAACGGUCCUAAGGUAGCGAAAUUCCUUGUCGGGUAAGUUCCGACCUGCACGAAUGGCGUAAUGAUGGCCAGGCUGUCUCCACCCGAGACUCAGUGAAAUUGAACUCGCUGUGAAGAUGCAGUGUACCCGCGGCAAGACGGAAAGACCCCGUGAACCUUUACUAUAGCUUGACACUGAACAUUGAGCCUUGAUGUGUAGGAUAGGUGGGAGGCUUUGAAGUGUGGACGCCAGUCUGCAUGGAGCCGGCCUUGAAAUACCACCCUUUAAUGUUUGAUGUUCUAACGUUGACCCGUGAUCCGGGUUGCGGACAGUGUCUGGUGGGUAGUUUGACUGGGGCGGUCUCCUCCUAAAGAGUAACGGAGGAGCACGAAGGUUGGCUAAUCCUGGUCGGACAUCAGGAGGUUAGUGCAAUGGCAUAAGCCAGCUUGACUGCGAGCGUGACGGCGCGAGCAGGUGCGAAAGCAGGUCAUAGUGAUCCGGUGGUUCUGAAUGGAAGGGCCAUCGCUCAACGGAUAAAAGGUACUCCGGGGAUAACAGGCUGAUACCGCCCAAGAGUUCAUAUCGACGGCGGUGUUUGGCACCUCGAUGUCGGCUCAUCACAUCCUGGGGCUGAAGUAGGUCCCAAGGGUAUGGCUGUUCGCCAUUUAAAGUGGUACGCGAGCUGGGUUUAGAACGUCGUGAGACAGUUCGGUCCCUAUCUGCCGUGGGCGCUGGAGAACUGAGGGGGGCUGCUCCUAGUACGAGAGGACCGGAGUGGACGCAUCACUGGUGUUCGGGUUGUCAUGCCAAUGGCACUGCCCGGUAGCUAAAUGCGGAAGAGAUAAGUGCUGAAAGCAUCUAAGCACGAAACUUGCCCCGAGAUGAGUUCUCCCUGACUCCUUGAGAGUCCUGAAGGAACGUUGAAGACGACGACGUUGAUAGGCCGGGUGUGUAAGCGCAGCGAUGCGUUGAGCUAACCGGUACUAAUGAACCGUGAGGCUUAACC
This 1334-nucleotide ribosomal RNA is filed under the name Escherichia coli. RNAcentral's name for it is "bacterial LSU rRNA". It matches the Rfam family "Bacterial large subunit ribosomal RNA", at positions 1613 to 2925 of the family's 2925-position model. The record is from RNAcentral. Lineage: Bacteria; Pseudomonadati; Pseudomonadota; Gammaproteobacteria; Enterobacterales; Enterobacteriaceae.